Molecule: ribosomal RNA, 291 nt
Filed under: uncultured bacterium
Lineage: Bacteria
Description: partial 16S ribosomal RNA
Rfam family: Bacterial small subunit ribosomal RNA
Source: RNAcentral
GUAGUCCACGCCCUAAACGAUGCGAACUGGAUGUUGGGUGCAACUAGGCACUCAGUAUCGAAGCUAACGCGUUAAGUUCGCCGCCUGGGGAGUACGGUCGCAAGACUGAAACUCAAAGGAAUUGACGGGGGCCCGCACAAGCGGUGGAGUAUGUGGUUUAAUUCGAUGCAACGCGAAGAACCUUACCUGGCCUUGACAUCCACGGAACUUUCCAGAGAUGGAUUGGUGCCUUCGGGAACCGUGAGACAGGUGCUGCAUGGCUGUCGUCAGCUCGUGUCGUGAGAUGUUGGG